Molecule: ribosomal RNA, 253 nt
Filed under: uncultured bacterium
Lineage: Bacteria
Description: partial 16S ribosomal RNA
Rfam family: Bacterial small subunit ribosomal RNA
Source: RNAcentral
UACGGAGGGUGCAAACGUUGCUCGGAAUCAUUGGGCGUAAAGCGCACGUAGGCGGCCUAUCAAGUCGGGCGUGAAAUCCCUGGGCUCAACCGAGGAACUGCGUCCGAUACUGGUUGGCUUGAAUCCGGGAGAGGGAUGUGGAAUUCCAGGUGUAGCGGUGAAAUGCGUAGAUAUCUGGAGGAACACCGGUGGCGAAGGCGGCAUCCUGGACUGGUCCUGACACUCAGGAGCGAAAGCGUGGGGAGCGAUCCGG